RNAcentral lists this transfer RNA (80 nucleotides) under Botryobasidium botryosum FD-172 SS1. Its description in RNAcentral is "tRNA-Gly". It matches the Rfam family "tRNA". From Rfam's summary of the family: Transfer RNA (tRNA) molecules are approximately 80 nucleotides in length. Their secondary structure includes four short double-helical elements and three loops (D, anti-codon, and T loops). Lineage: Eukaryota; Fungi; Basidiomycota; Agaricomycetes; Cantharellales; Botryobasidiaceae. The record is from RNAcentral.
GCGUUGAUGGGGUAGUGGUAACCUUGGUCGUUGCCACCCACCGUAUCGACCAGCCGGGGGUUCGAUUCCCUCUCAACGCA